CUUGCUAAUGGUGCUACAUCAACAUGCUAACUGAUACAUCAACAUGCUAACUGAUACAUCAAUGUGCUAAUGGUGCUACAUCAACAUGCUAACUGAUACAUCAACAUGCUAAUGGUGCUACAUCAACAUGCUAACUGAUACAUCAACAUGCUAAUGGUGCUACAUUAACAUGCUAACUGAUACAUCAACAUGCUAACUGAUACAUCAACAUGCUAAUGGUGCUACAUUAACAUGCUAACUGAUACAUCAACAUGCUAACUGAUACAUCAAUGUGCUAAUGGUGCUACAACCACAUGCUAACUGCUACAUGCACAUGAUAACUGAUACAUCAACAUGCUAACUGAUACAUCAACAUGCUAAUGGUACUACAUCAACAUGCUAACUGAUACAUCAACAUGCUAAUGUUGCUACAUUAACAUGCUAAAUGAUGCAUCAACAUGCUAACAGAUAUAUCAAAAUGCUAAUGAUGCUACAUCCACAUGCUAACUCAUACAUUACCUUGCUAACUGAGACAUCAACAUGCUAACUGAUACAUCAACAUGCUAAUGGUGCUACAUUAACAUGCUAACUGAUACAUCAACAUGCUAACUGAUACAUCAACAUGCUAAUGGUGCUACAUUAACAUGCUAACUGAUACAUCAACAUGCUAACUGAUACAUCAAUGUGCUAAUGGUGCUACAACCACAUGCUAACUGCUACAUGCACAUGAUAACUGAUACAUCAACAUGCUAACUGAUACAUCAACAUGCUAAUGGUACUACAUCAACAUGCUAACUGAUACAUCAACAUGCUAAUGUUGCUACAUUAACAUGCUAAAUGAUGCAUCAACAUGCUAACAGAUAUAUCAAAAUGCUAAUGAUGCUACAUCCACAUGCUAACUCAUACAUUACCUUGCUAACUGAGACAUCAACAUGCUAACUGAUACAUCAACAUGCUAACUGAGACAUCCACAUGCAAACUGAUAUAUCAACAUGCUAACUGAGACAUCAACAUGCUAACUGAUACAUUCACAUGCUAACUGAUAUAUCCACAUGCUAACUGAUACAUUAACAUGCUAAUUGAUACAUCCACAUGCUAACUGAUAUAUCAACAUGCUAACUGAUACAUCCACAUGCUAACUGAUAUAUCAACAUGCUAACUGAGACAUCACCAUGCUAACUGAUACAUUCACAUGCUAACUGAGACAUUCACAUGCUAACUGAUACAUUAACAUGCUGAGACAUCCAAAUGCAAACUUUUGCAUUAACAUGCUAACGGUGCUACAUCAACAUGCCAACUGCUACAUCAACAUGCUAACAGAUACAAAACCUGAACAUGACAACCUAAGGAAACAGUUAGCAUCCAUGCUAAGAUUAUAUUUUAACGAAAGGACAUCUGAACACAGCUGUACAUGUCAUGAUUUAUUUUCUUUCUAAUUGUCUCCACUUUUCAUUCAUCAGAAAUGCUUUUUCUGGAAUAUCUUGAACAUUCCAGCCUCACUGUGUUGCUGACAGGAAGUAUACUAGAAGUUCUGAAUAAAUGUCAGCAUGAAUGUUUUCCAGUUUCUGCCCUCUGAGUGUGAUCCAGGCUUCUUCUUCUGCUCAGAUGCAGACUGAAUGCCAGCCGAUCCAGAGAUUUAUUAUCACUUCCUGGACAGUAGCUGCUUGGUGCAAACACUCGGCGUCACCAUGGCAACAGGUUGAGUGUAACUCUGUGCUGUCGGAGCUUCGUUCUGAGCCAUCGACUGGCCGUUUGCCCCAAAGGCAGCCGUCGCUCCGCUGACCUCCUUCCUGAGCCAAGAUGGCCACCGUCCAGUGAAUCAGUGGAGUCACAUGCUGCUGUCAAGAAGUUUAAUCACAAGUUCCUCGUUUGUGGAAGAUGGUUUAUUAUUAUCAGACUUUCAUUAUUUGGAUAAACGCACAUCAUAUCAGCAGACUGCAUUAAUUACACACUAAAUAAAUAACAAUGUGCUGCAUAACAGGAAGUCUUUUCUGUUAUCAGGAAGUGGAUUUCAGGUGUAAUAUUCCAUCAUCAUGUAGGUCAGUGUGUUAUCUCAGGCAUCAGUGCUGCUGCAUCAGAUUCUGUUCUGUUUAUUUAUUCAUUGUUUGAAACCCAAAACUAAGCGCUGGUAAAUAUUUUGGGCUGAAUUUUGAGACUUUUAUCUGUUUUUAGACCUGAGAAUUUUUUACAUUUUCACCUUAAAAACACCCGUGAAGCCAUUUUAAUGGCUCAGUAUCUCCAGAAACCAAACUUAUAAUGUUGAAGAGAUUCUAACAUCAGAGACUGAGAAGAAGUUCUCAUGGAGGUCUAGAUGUUCAUGGAGGUCUAGAUGUUCAUGGAGGUCUAGGUGUUCAUAGAGGUCUAGAUGUUCAUAGAGGUCUAGAUGUUCAUAGAGGUCUAGGUGUUCAUAGAGGUCUCGGUGUUCAUAGAGGUCUAGAUGUUCAUAGAGGUCUAGGUGUUCAUAGAGGUCUCGGUGUUCAUAGAGGUCUAGAUGUUCAUAGAGGUCUAGGUGUUCAUGGAGGUCUAGAUGUUCAUAGAGGUCUAGGUGUUCAUGGAGGUCUAGGUGUUCAUAGAGGUCUAGAUGUUCAUAGAGGUCUAGAUGUUCAUAGAGGUCUAGAUGUUCAUAGAGGUCUAGGUGUUCAUGGAGGUCUAGAUGUUCAUAGAGGUCUAGGUGUUCGUGGAGGUCUAGGUGUUCAUAGAGGUCUAGAUGUUCAUAGAGGUCUAGGUGUUCAUAGAGGUCGAGGUGUUCAUGGAGGUCUAGGUGUUCAUAGAGGUCUAGAUGUUCAUAGAGGUCUAGAUGUUCAUAGAGGUCUAGGUGUUCAUGGAGGUCUAGAUGUUCAUAGAGGUCUCGGUGUUCAUGGAGGUCUAGGUGUUCAUAGAGGUCUAGAUGUUCAUAGAGGUCUAGGUGUUCAUAGAGGUCUAGGUGUUCAUAGAGGUCUAGGUGUUCAUAGAGGUCUAGAUGUUCAUAGAGGUCUAGAUGUUCAUAGAGGUCUAGGUGUUCAUGGAGGUCUAGGUGUUCAUAGAGGUCUAGAUGUUCAUGGAGGUCUAGAUGUUGGUGGUAGAUGUUCAGAGCCUCUUCGUGUUGAUUACAGAUAUUUUAAAAUAAUUCAACACGUCAUGAUAAAUGUAAUUUUUAUUGAAACAUCUUGACAAGAAAAUAAUUCAAAAUACUGAACGUUCCUCAGUGGAUUCACACUUCAUUCAGUCGCUGAAAGGACAUUUUAAAAAGUUAUUUCUAACAAUAAAUUGCAAUAACAAACAAUCCCCUUUUCUGUAUCUGCUGCUAAAAGUUCACAUUUCUGAUCUGACAUCAGCAGACGGUGAAAUCAGAGCGACUAAAUCUAAACUCUGAACUUUAGCUCUGAUUGUCAGACGUCACAGCUGAACAUCGCAAACCUGAAACCUGCACCAAACCACCUGAUUUUACUCAACUUCUUCUGUUGCCGUCGUUACAGGAAAAGAGCACCAGUUUCGUCAUAACAACACAUUUUAUCGCAUAGAGUACUUGAAGACGAUUUACUCAGAAGGAUGAAGAAAUAAACAUAUGGUGGAAAUCAGAAGGCAGGAAAAUGACGGGUGACGAGCAGAAAAACAGGCGGUGCCUGAAGAAAUGAGUGCUAUUUCUACAUCGUUUGGUGAUUUCAGGCUGAUUUUCUCUGAGGGUUUGUUCUUCGCUCUGCUGGUAAUUUCUCUCCUUUCUGUUCUCCGGUUUGUUUGUCUCUUAUGUGACUGAACCUGAAUGACAUUACUGAUGACCUCAAUAAUCAGCUGCUGAUGGAAAACAAGAUGUGGUGCUUCUUGUUGUUUUUGUUUUUAUCACUCAGACAGAAUCUUUCACACGUGAAUCUGUUUAUUGUUUAUCUCCAUCAUCUUAUUCUCUGUUUUCUCUGCUUUAACCACGCAGACCAUGAAUCGUCUUAUUUCUGUAAACAUCUGCUCAUUUUCCUGCAGAAACAAACCAAAUAUAUUCUUUUAUGUUGAACUCUGAUGUGUUCAAACCUGAAACUCUGAUCACAGAUGAUAAAAGUCUUCAUGGGUUUUCUUUUUGA
Long non-coding RNA from Acanthochromis polyacanthus (spiny chromis), 4028 nucleotides. RefSeq lists it as uncharacterized. The transcript has 4 exons. The record is from RefSeq and is a predicted model, not a curated record. Lineage: Eukaryota; Metazoa; Chordata; Actinopteri; Pomacentridae.